This 254-nucleotide ribosomal RNA is filed under the name uncultured bacterium. Its description in RNAcentral is "partial 16S ribosomal RNA". It matches the Rfam family "Bacterial small subunit ribosomal RNA", at positions 524 to 776 of the family's 1533-position model. The record is from RNAcentral.
UACGUAGGGUGCAAGCGUUGCCCGGAUUUAUUGGGCGUAAAGAGCUCGUAGGCGGUGUGUCGCGUCGGCCGUGAAAACCUGCAGCUUAACUGUGGGCUUGCGGUCGAUACGGGCAUCACUGGAGUUCGGCAGGGGAGACUGGAAUUCCUGGUGUAGCGGUGAAAUGCGCAGAUAUCAGGAGGAACACCGGUGGCGAAGGCGGGUCUCUGGGCCGAAACUGACGCUGAGGAGCGAAAGCGUGGGGAGCAAACAGG